AACACUUCCCAGCCUUUCAGCUAAGAUCAAAUAUAAUAUCUGUUCUUAUCAGUUUAGUGUCUGAUGUGUCCUUUAUCUGAGAACAAUAUAGUAAAUGGAUUUGGGGAAGUAGGAGAUGGAAUAGGAGCUUGUUCCAUUCAUUCCAUGCAUUGACCUGGUAUUGCAAUACUUCCAGGAACGGUGUACCCCCG
Molecule: small nuclear RNA, 191 nt
Organism: Nycticebus coucang (slow loris)
Lineage: Eukaryota; Metazoa; Chordata; Mammalia; Primates; Lorisidae
Product: U2 spliceosomal RNA
Exons: 1
Source: RefSeq, a predicted model, not a curated record